GCCGGCAUAGCUCAGAUGGUAGAGCAACCGCCUUGUAAGCGGUAGGUCGACUGUUCGAUUCAGUCUGCCGGCA
This 73-nucleotide transfer RNA is filed under the name Sulfuritalea sp. RNAcentral's name for it is "tRNA-Thr". It matches the Rfam family "tRNA". Rfam says of the family: Transfer RNA (tRNA) molecules are approximately 80 nucleotides in length. Lineage: Bacteria; Pseudomonadati; Pseudomonadota; Betaproteobacteria; Nitrosomonadales; Sterolibacteriaceae. The record is from RNAcentral.